RNAcentral lists this transfer RNA (75 nucleotides) under Candidatus Saccharimonadota bacterium. RNAcentral describes it as "tRNA-Gly". It matches the Rfam family "tRNA". Rfam says of the family: Transfer RNA (tRNA) molecules are approximately 80 nucleotides in length. Their secondary structure includes four short double-helical elements and three loops (D, anti-codon, and T loops). The record is from RNAcentral. Lineage: Bacteria; Candidatus Saccharimonadota.
GCGGGUAUCGUAUAACGGCUAUUAUGUAUCCUUCCCAAGGAUGAGAUUGGGGUCCGACUCCCCAUACCCGCACCA